Molecule: ribosomal RNA, 374 nt
Filed under: uncultured bacterium
Lineage: Bacteria
Description: bacterial SSU rRNA
Rfam family: Bacterial small subunit ribosomal RNA
Source: RNAcentral
AUACGUAGGGGGCGAGCGUUAUCCGGAUUUAUUGGGCGUAAAGCGCGCGCAGGCGGUCAGGUAAGUCGGAUGUGAAAGGCUACGGCUCAACCGUAGAGCGGCAUCCGAAACUGCUUGACUUGAGUGCAGGAGAGGAGAGUGGAAUUCCCGGUGUAGCGGUGGAAUGCGUAGAGAUCGGGAGGAACACCAGUGGCGAAGGCGACUCUCUGGACUGUAACUGACGCUGAGGCGCGAAAGCGUGGGGAGCAAACAGGAUUAGAUACCCUGGUAGUCCACGCCGUAAACGAUGAGUGCUAGGUGUUGGGGGGACCCCCCUCAGUGCCGCAGGUAACCCAAUAAGCACUCCGCCUGGGGAGUACGGUCGCAAGACUGAA